This 424-nucleotide ribosomal RNA is filed under the name uncultured bacterium. Its description in RNAcentral is "bacterial SSU rRNA". It matches the Rfam family "Bacterial small subunit ribosomal RNA", at positions 354 to 796 of the family's 1533-position model. The record is from RNAcentral.
GUGGGGAAUCUUAGACAAUGGGCGCAAGACUGAUCUAGCCAUGCCGCGUGAUCGAUGAAGGCCUUAGGGUUGUAAAGAUCUUUCAGUGGGGAAGAUAAUGACUGUACCCACAGAAGAAGCCCCGGCUAACUCCGUGCCAGCAGCCGCGGUAAUACGGAGGGGGCUAGCGUUGUUCGGAAUUACUGGGCGUAAAGCGCACGUAGGCGGAACAGAAAGUCAGAGGUGAAAUCCCAGGGCUCAACCUUGGAACUGCCUUUGAAACUCCUGUUCUUGAGUUCGAGAGAGGUGAGUGGAAUUCCGAGUGUAGAGGUGAAAUUCGUAGAUAUUCGGAGGAACACCAGUGGCGAAGGCGGCUCACUGGCUCGAUACUGACGCUGAGGUGCGAAAGCGUGGGAGCAAACAGGAUUAGAAACCCGAGUAGUCC